GGCUUCAUAGCUCAGUGAUAGAGCGUUGCACCGGAAUCGCAAAGGUCAUGGGUCCGAAUCCCGUUGGAGCCU
Molecule: transfer RNA, 72 nt
Filed under: Desmophyllum pertusum
Lineage: Eukaryota; Metazoa; Cnidaria; Anthozoa; Scleractinia; Caryophylliidae
Description: Lophelia pertusa tRNA
Rfam family: tRNA
About the family: Transfer RNA (tRNA) molecules are approximately 80 nucleotides in length.
Source: Rfam by way of RNAcentral